GGGGAAUAUUGGACAAUGGGCGCAAGCCUGAUCCAGCCAUGCCGCGUGAGUGAUGAAGGCCUUAGGGUUGUAAAGCUCUUUUGUCCGGGACGAUAAUGACGGUACCGGAAGAAUAAGCCCCGGCUAACUUCGUGCCAGCAGCCGCGGUAAUACGAAGGGGGCUAGCGUUGCUCGGAAUCACUGGGCGUAAAGGGCGCGUAGGCGGCCAUUCAAGUCGGGGGUGAAAGCCUGUGGCUCAACCACAGAAUUGCCUUCGAUACUGUUUGGCUUGAGUAUGGUAGAGGUUGGUGGAACUGCGAGUGUAGAGGUGAAAUUCGUAGAUAUUCGCAAGAACACCGGUGGCGAAGGCGGCCAACUGGACCAUUACUGACGCUGAGGCGCGAAAGCGUGGGGAGCAAAC
Molecule: ribosomal RNA, 400 nt
Filed under: uncultured bacterium
Lineage: Bacteria
Description: bacterial SSU rRNA
Rfam family: Bacterial small subunit ribosomal RNA
Source: RNAcentral